This 230-nucleotide ribosomal RNA is filed under the name uncultured bacterium. Its description in RNAcentral is "partial 16S ribosomal RNA". It matches the Rfam family "Bacterial small subunit ribosomal RNA", at positions 562 to 791 of the family's 1533-position model. The record is from RNAcentral.
AAAGGGUGCGUAGGCGGCCUGUUAAGUCAGGGGUGAAAGACGGUAGCUCAACUAUCGCAGUGCCCUUGAUACUGAUGGGCUUGAAUUGACUAGAGGUAGGCGGAAUGUGACAAGUAGCGGUGAAAUGCAUAGAUAUGUCACAGAACACCGAUUGCGAAGGCAGCUUACUAUGGUCUUAUUGACGCUGAGGCACGAAAGCGUGGGGAUCAAACAGGAUUAGAUACCCUAGU